This 764-nucleotide small RNA is filed under the name Pan troglodytes (chimpanzee). Its description in RNAcentral is "processed transcript". Lineage: Eukaryota; Metazoa; Chordata; Mammalia; Primates; Hominidae. The record is from RNAcentral.
ACGCAACCUGGGCGGCUCCUAGGACGCAGAGACGCCGUCCCCGCCUUCAUUGAGCCCAACGUGCGCUUCUGGAUCACCGAGCGCCAAUCCUUUAUUCGACGAUUUCUUCAAUGGACAGAAUUAUUAGAUCCUACAAAUGUGUUCAUUUCAGUUGAAAGUAUAGAAAACUCGAGGCAACUAUUGUGCACAAAUGAAGAUGCUUCCAGCCCUGCCUCGGCGGACCAAAGGGCAACAGUGCAUCCCGACAGCAGCAACCUGAUCCCCAAGCUUUUUCGACCUGCAGCGUUCCUGCCUUUCAUGGCGCCCACGGUAUUUUUGUCAAUGACACCACUGAAAGGGAUCAAGUCCGUGAUUUUACCUCAGGUUUUCCUCUGUGCCUACAUGGCAGCAUUCAACAGCAUCAAUGGAAACAGAAGUUACACUUGUAAGCCACUAGAAAGAUCAUUACUAAUGGCGGGAGCCGUUGCUUCUUCAACUUUCUUAGGAGUAAUCCCUCAGUUUGUCCAGAUGAAGUAUGGCCUGACUGGCCCUUGGAUUAAAAGACUCUUACCUGUGAUCUUCCUCGUGCAAGCCAGUGGAAUGAAUGUCUACAUGUCCCGAAGUCUUGAAUCCAUUAAGGGGAUUGCGGUCAUGGACAAGGAAGGCAAUGUCCUGGGCCAUUCCAGAAUUGCUGGGACAAAGGCUGUUAGAGAAACGCUAGCAUCCAGAAUAGUGCUGUUUGGGACCUCAGCUCUGAUUCCUGAAGUCUUCACCUACUUUUUUAA